GUUUUAAUAGUUUAAAGAAAACGUUGGUCUUGUAAACCAAAAUUAGGUCUCCUUUAAAACU
This 61-nucleotide transfer RNA is filed under the name Teloganodidae sp. MT-2014. RNAcentral's name for it is "tRNA-Thr". It matches the Rfam family "tRNA". From Rfam's summary of the family: Transfer RNA (tRNA) molecules are approximately 80 nucleotides in length. The record is from RNAcentral. Lineage: Eukaryota; Metazoa; Arthropoda; Insecta; Ephemeroptera; Teloganodidae.